This 492-nucleotide ribosomal RNA is filed under the name uncultured bacterium. RNAcentral's name for it is "partial 16S ribosomal RNA". It matches the Rfam family "Bacterial small subunit ribosomal RNA", at positions 29 to 507 of the family's 1533-position model. The record is from RNAcentral.
AGUGAACGCUGGCGGUAGGCCUAACACAUGCAAGUCGAACGGCAGCACAGUAAGAGCUUGCUCUUACGGGUGGCGAGUGGCGGACGGGUGAGGAAUACAUCGGAAUCUACUUUUUCGUGGGGGAUAACGUAGGGAAACUUACGCUAAUACCGCAUACGUCCUACGGGUGAAAGCAGGGGAUCUUCGGACCUUGCGCGAUUGAAUGAGCCGAUGUCGGAUUAGCUAGUUGGCGGGGUAAAGGCCCACCAAGGCGAUGAUCCGUAGCUGGUCUGAGAGGAUGAUCAGCCACACUGGAACUGAGACACGGUCCAGACUCCUACGGGAGGCAGCAGUGGGGAAUAUUGGACAAUGGGCGCAAGACUGAUCCAGCCAUACCGCGUGGGUGAAGAAGGCCUUCGGGUUGUAAAGCCCUUUUGUUGGGAAAGAAAAGCAGCAGGUUAAUACCCCGCUGUUCUGACGGUACCCAAAGAAUAAGCACCGGCUAACUUCGUG